Molecule: ribosomal RNA, 430 nt
Filed under: uncultured bacterium
Lineage: Bacteria
Description: bacterial SSU rRNA
Rfam family: Bacterial small subunit ribosomal RNA
Source: RNAcentral
UUCGGGACGCCGGCGAGUGGCGAACGGGUGAGUAACACGUGGAGACCUGCCCUGGGGUGGGGGAUAACAGCUAGAAAUGGCUGCUAAUACCGCAUACGCCUUACGAGGGAAAGAUUUAUUGCCCCAGGAGGGUUCCGCGUCGGAUUAGCUUGUUGGUGGGGUAACGGCCUACCAAGGCGACGAUCCGUAGCUGGUCUUAGAGGAUGAUCAGCCACACUGGGACUGAGACACGGCCCAGACUCCUACGGGAGGCAGCAGUGGGGAAUAUUGCGCAAUGGGGGAAACCCUGACGCAGCGAUGCCGCGUGGGUGAAUAAGGCCUUAGGGUUGUAAAGCCCUUUCAGUGGGGACGAUGAUGACGGUACCCACAGAAGAAGCCCCGGCUAACUCCGUGCCAGCAGCCGCGGUAAUACGGAGGGGGCGAGCGUUGU